CAGAAAGUAGUUUAAUGAUAAUCUUGACUUUGGGGGCCAAGGGUAAAAGUUCAAACCUUUUUUUUCUGA
This 69-nucleotide transfer RNA is filed under the name Chimaera fulva (southern chimaera). Its description in RNAcentral is "tRNA-Pro". It matches the Rfam family "tRNA". Rfam says of the family: Transfer RNA (tRNA) molecules are approximately 80 nucleotides in length. Their secondary structure includes four short double-helical elements and three loops (D, anti-codon, and T loops). Further hydrogen bonds mediate the characteristic L-shaped molecular structure. tRNAs have two regions of fundamental functional importance: the anti-codon, which is responsible for specific mRNA codon recognition, and the 3' end, to which the tRNAs corresponding amino acid is attached (by aminoacyl-tRNA synthetases). tRNAs cope with the degeneracy of the genetic code in two manners: having more than one tRNA (with a specific anti-codon) for a particular amino acid; and 'wobble' base-pairing, i.e. permitting non-standard base-pairing at the 3rd anti-codon position. The record is from RNAcentral. Lineage: Eukaryota; Metazoa; Chordata; Chondrichthyes; Chimaeriformes; Chimaeridae.